Non-coding RNA from Candidatus Levybacteria bacterium CG2_30_37_29, 72 nucleotides. The record is from Rfam. Lineage: Bacteria; Candidatus Levyibacteriota.
GCUCCCGUAGUUCAACGGAUAGAACAGACCCGUCCUAAGGGCCCAAUGUAGGUUCGAUUCCUAUCGGGGGCG